AGUCGAGCGAGCUUGCCUAGAUGAAUUUGGUGCUUGCACCAGAUGAAACUAGAUACAAGCGAGCGGCGGACGGGUGAGUAACACGUGGGUAACCUGCCCAAGAGACUGGGAUAACACCUGGAAACAGAUGCUAAUACCGGAUAACAACACUAGACGCAUGUCUAGAGUUUAAAAGAUGGUUCUGCUAUCACUCUUGGAUGGACCUGCGGUGCAUUAGCUAGUUGGUAAGGUAACGGCUUACCAAGGCAAUGAUGCAUAGCCGAGUUGAGAGACUGAUCGGCCACAUUGGGACUGAGACACGGCCCAAACUCCUACGGGAGGCAGCAGUAGGGAAUCUUCCACAAUGGACGCAAGUCUGAUGGAGCAACGCCGCGUGAGUGAAGAAGGGUUUCGGCUCGUAAAGCUCUGUUGGUAGUGAAGAAAGAUAGAGGUAGUAACUGGCCUUUAUUUGACGGUAAUUACUUAGAAAGUCACGGCUAACUACGUGCCAGCAGCCGCGGUAAUACGUAGGUGGCAAGCGUUGUCCGGAUUUAUUGGGCGUAAAGCGAGUGCAGGCGGUUCAAUAAGUCUGAUGUGAAAGCCUUCGGCUCAACCGGAGAAUUGCAUCAGAAACUGUUGAACUUGAGUGCAGAAGAGGAGAGUGGAACUCCAUGUGUAGCGGUGGAAUGCGUAGAUAUAUGGAAGAACACCAGUGGCGAAGGCGGCUCUCUGGUCUGCAACUGACGCUGAGGCUCGAAAGCAUGGGUAGCGAACAGGAUUAGAUACCCUGGUAGUCCAUGCCGUANACGAUGAGUGCUAAGUGUUGGGAGGUUUCCGCCUCUCAGUGCUGCAGCUAACGCAUUA
Molecule: ribosomal RNA, 843 nt
Filed under: uncultured bacterium
Lineage: Bacteria
Description: bacterial SSU rRNA
Rfam family: Bacterial small subunit ribosomal RNA
Source: RNAcentral